This is a long non-coding RNA of Oreochromis niloticus (Nile tilapia), 622 nucleotides long. RefSeq lists it as uncharacterized. NCBI's taxonomy places the organism in Eukaryota, Metazoa, Chordata, Actinopteri, Cichliformes, Cichlidae. The transcript has 4 exons. The record is from RefSeq and is a predicted model, not a curated record.
GAAGCUUGAUUCUGACUGCUGAAUGGCUGAUGACAGCCUCAACCUUGUAAGGGCAGAUGAAAUGGGGAGCUAGCUUACAAGAGAGGGCCUUUCAGAGGAAUGUCCUUAGCUGCUAGCCAUGCAUUUUGUCCAGGUUCAAAGUUGGGAGCAGCUGUUCAGAAGGCAAUCUGCAUAGUGGCGCUGCUAAUCAAUGGUCCAGAGGAGGAUGUUGCGGUUCUCCUCAUUCCAGGGUGGCAGAUGAACUUGGCGGUGUGAGCCCAGUGAAUGACGGCAGAGUGAGCAGAGAUAGGAACGUAUUUAGUGGGUCGGUAUCUGGGUCUGGCACGUUCUAUAAUUAAUUAAGCCUCUUGGUGGUUCUCAGGAGUGAGGCAGCAAAAGAAGAAAGCAGUCCUACCAAGUAGAAGAGUUUGGUGACAUUGUCGGGGAAAGAGCAAGGUGGGAUCAUAUCACAGACCAUGCUGGACCAUACUGAGCAUGCUUAGGUGUUGGCAUUUAUACACCUGUAGCCAUGGAAAUGACUGGAACACCUGAAUUCAAUGAUUUGUAUGGGGCUAGAGCCUACACCAGCUAUUCCAGGCAGGGCACACUUGAACAGAUCACCUGGACAGGUCUUGGAGCACAC